UGGGGAAACUGAGGUACCGCCUGCUCAUGCUUAAAGUAAAUAGCCGCAGUAUUUUGACUGUGCUAAGGUAGCAUAAUCAUUAGUCUCUUAAUUAGAGGCUGGUAUGAAUGGCAAGACGAGAAAAAAACUGUCUCUAGAUAAAAUUACGAAUUUCAUAUCUUACUGAAAAAGCUAAGAUGAUUUUGAAGGACGAUCAGACCCUUUGGAGCUUUAUCAAAAAAUUAUUUUGUAUUUAUUUUAAAAUAUGAAAAUAAAAACUUGAUUUUGUUGGGGCGACAGGAAGAAAAAAAUAACACUUCUUUUAUUUACCAUGAAUAUAUGAAUUACUGAUCCUUAGUGAAAGAUUAAAAGACUAAGUUACCCUAGGGAUAACAGCGUAAUCUUUUUGGAGAGUUCUUAUCGAUAAAAAGGUUUGCGACCUCGAUGUUGGAUUAAGAGAUUAGCAAGGUGCAGAAGUUUUGCUGGAAAGUCUGUUCGACUUUUAAUCUCUUACAUGAUCUAGUUUUAAAACCGGGGAGGGGUGGGGCCCAACGAUUAAAAGUCCCAACAUGAACCUGAGUUCAAAACCGGAACACGCGGUUGGUUGGGGUGCGGUUAUCCCGGACUUUUUCGGCUCGGGGGGUGAGCUAGGAAAUGCCGUCCUUUGAUGUGGGAGGGCCGCACCGGCGAGGAUGGGGUACCCGGAAGGGCCGAAACCC
Molecule: ribosomal RNA, 698 nt
Filed under: Simocephalus congener
Lineage: Eukaryota; Metazoa; Arthropoda; Branchiopoda; Diplostraca; Daphniidae
Description: partial 16S rRNA
Rfam family: Bacterial large subunit ribosomal RNA
Source: RNAcentral